GAUGAACGCUAGCGACAGGCCUAACACAUGCAAGUCGAGGGGCAGCACAUGAGUAGCAAUACGAUGGUGGCGACCGGCGCACGGGUGAGUAACACGUAUGCAACCUGCCUGUAAGAGGGGAAUAACCCGGAGAAAUUCGGACUAAUACCGCAUAAUACCACGAGACUGCAUGGUUUUGUGGUUAAACAUUUAUGGCUUACAGAUGGGCAUGCGUAUGAUUAGAUAGUUGGUAGGGUAACGGCCUACCAAGUCUACGAUCAUUAGGGGUUCUGAGAGGAAGGUCCCCCAACUGGUACUGAGACACGGACCAGACUCCUACGGGAGGCAGCAGUGAGGAAUAUUGGUCAAUGGGCGAGAGCCUGAACCAGCCAAGUCGCGUGAAGGAAGAAGGUUCUAUGGAUUGUAAACUUCUUUUGCAGGGGAAUAAUGACGGUACGUGUACUGUUUGUAUGUACCUUGCGAAUAAGGAUCGGCUAACUCCGUGCCAGCAC
Molecule: ribosomal RNA, 491 nt
Filed under: uncultured bacterium
Lineage: Bacteria
Description: bacterial SSU rRNA
Rfam family: Bacterial small subunit ribosomal RNA
Source: RNAcentral